GCUGGUGUAGCUUAAGUAAAGCAUAACACUGAAGAUGUUAAGAUAAACCCUAGAAAGUUUCGCGAGCA
This 68-nucleotide transfer RNA is filed under the name Knodus borki. RNAcentral describes it as "tRNA-Phe". It matches the Rfam family "tRNA". From Rfam's summary of the family: Transfer RNA (tRNA) molecules are approximately 80 nucleotides in length. Their secondary structure includes four short double-helical elements and three loops (D, anti-codon, and T loops). Further hydrogen bonds mediate the characteristic L-shaped molecular structure. tRNAs have two regions of fundamental functional importance: the anti-codon, which is responsible for specific mRNA codon recognition, and the 3' end, to which the tRNAs corresponding amino acid is attached (by aminoacyl-tRNA synthetases). tRNAs cope with the degeneracy of the genetic code in two manners: having more than one tRNA (with a specific anti-codon) for a particular amino acid; and 'wobble' base-pairing, i.e. permitting non-standard base-pairing at the 3rd anti-codon position. The record is from RNAcentral. Lineage: Eukaryota; Metazoa; Chordata; Actinopteri; Characiformes; Stevardiidae.